UUAAGAUGAAAAGAUGGCGUAUGGGUAUUUGAAAUUAAAAAAUAGUAUCAAUCAAGAUUUGUACAGUAAUAAAUACGUGACAGUGCCCAAAAUAUCGUGUAUAAGAUGACCUAUCGUUAGGAUUUAAACUUUAUCAUGAAAGGAAAUAUCCCUAAGGAGGAGAGGAGCAAUAUUUGAAUUUAGACGAAGAAUGGAAGCGAGCAAAGAAGUUGUCUUCAAUAUUAAAAUCAUUUCCAUGGAUUUCCUCACACUGAAAUGGAUUAUAAGCAGUGGCGGCUCGUGGCUUUAGGGACAGGGUCGGCAAGGUUUUUGUCUCCUCAGAUAGAUAUUCUUCUUUAGCGGCGAAUCGAUUGAGGGUAAAAUUGUACAUUUACCGCGCGCCUGCGCACACUGACAGUAUGUAGUUCAUUGCUAAUCUUUCAAGAUAGUGCCUCGAUGGAGUAGUUAGAAAUGCGUUGGCACUGAGAUUGGAAGGUUGCGGGUUCAAUUCCGAAAGUGGUAGAAACAAAUAUCAUCAACUCUGGAUUAAAUUAAAUAUUUAGAAAAUCUACAAUGUGUCCAUAAUGUGUGGGUCGGCACUGCCGACCCUGACCGGCCGCCACUGAUUAUAAGGAUUUUUUUGUCCAGGACGAUUUCAAGAACCAAUAAAGAAACCAUGUCAGCCUUUUGUCACUCACAAGAUUUGAUGUAAAUAUAGCAAGGAAUUGCCCCUAAGAAUCUCAGGAAUAUUUGAAUAUAGAUGAAGAAUGGAAGCGAGCAAGAGAGUUUUCUUCAAUAUGAGAAUCAUUUCCCCAGAUUUUUUCACAUUGAAAUGAAGUAUAAGGAAUUUUUCUUCAGGAGAAUUUGAGAACAAAUAAAGAAGCGGUCUAUCUUUUGUCACUUAUGAGAUUUAUGUAAAAAUAGCAAGGUUAGAAGAUUUUGCUGUAUUGAAAUUCAUGGAGGACAUUAGCAAGUUUUACGGAACAUCUUCAUCUUCAGAAGCACUCAAUGCUCAACGAAAUGGAUCACCAACAACUUCUAUGGAACAACUAUAUAGUUGAAAAUUGUAAUAUUGUAUCAUAAAAUGUAGUAUGGAAUAAAAUUCCUUUUUGGUGUA
Molecule: long non-coding RNA, 1096 nt
Filed under: Diabrotica virgifera virgifera (western corn rootworm)
Lineage: Eukaryota; Metazoa; Arthropoda; Insecta; Coleoptera; Chrysomelidae
Description: uncharacterized LOC114326532
Source: RNAcentral